Molecule: ribosomal RNA, 632 nt
Filed under: uncultured bacterium
Lineage: Bacteria
Description: bacterial SSU rRNA
Rfam family: Bacterial small subunit ribosomal RNA
Source: RNAcentral
CAGCCAAUCCUUCGACGACGUGGCGAACCGGGUGACGUAACUACUAUCGGAACCGUGCCCACGUCGUGGGGGACUAACCGUACGACGAAAUUUACCGCCUAAUACCCGCAUACCGACUCUAAGGAUGAAAGCGGGGGACCUUGCAAGAGGCCUCGCGCGACUGGAGCGGUGAUAUCCAGCAUUCAGGUUGUGGUGCAGGUAAAAGCUCCACCCAAGCCGACGAAUCUGUAGCUGGUUUGAGCAGAACGACCCAGCCCACACUGGGGACUGAGCACACGGCCCCAGAACUCCUACGGGCAGGCAAGCAGUGGGGCAAAUUUUGGGCACAAUGGGCGCAAAGCCUGCAUCCCAGCCAAUGCCGCGUGCAGGCAAGCAAGGCCUUCGGGUUGUAAACUGCUUUUGUACGGCAACGCAAAAGGCCUGCCUUCAAUCACGGCGGGCCCAUGCACGGUACCGUCAAGCAAUAAGCACCGGCUAACUCACGUGCCAGCAGCCGCGGUAAUACGUAGGGUGCGCAGCGUUAAUCGGAAUUACUGGGCGUAAAGCGUGCGCAGGCGGUGAUGUAAGACAGUUGUGAAAUCCCCGGGCUCAACCUGGGAAUUGCAUCUGUGACUGCAUCGCUAGAGUACGGU